This 496-nucleotide ribosomal RNA is filed under the name uncultured bacterium. Its description in RNAcentral is "partial 16S ribosomal RNA". It matches the Rfam family "Bacterial small subunit ribosomal RNA", at positions 29 to 507 of the family's 1533-position model. The record is from RNAcentral.
AUGAACGCUGGCGGCGUGCCUAAUCCAUGCAAGUCGAGCGAACGGACGAGAAGCUUGCUUCUCUGAUGUUAGCGGCGGACGGGUGAGUAACACGUGGAUAACCUACCUAUAAGACUGGGAUAACUUCGGGAAACCGGAGCUAAUACCGGAUAAUAUUUUGAACCGCAUGGUUCAAAAGUGAAAGACGGUCUUGCUGUCACUUAUAGAUGGAUCCGCGCUGCAUUAGCUAGUUGGUAAGGUAACGGCUUACCAAGGCAACGAUGCAUAGCCGACCUGAGAGGGUGAUCGGCCACACUGGAACUGAGACACGGUCCAGACUCCUACGGGAGGCAGCAGUAGGGAAUCUUCCGCAAUGGGCGAAAGCCUGACGGAGCAACGCCGCGUGAGUGAUGAAGGUCUUCGGAUCGUAAAACUCUGUUAUUAGGGAAGAACAUAUGUGUAAGUAACUGUGCACAUCUUGACGGUACCUAAUCAGAAAGCCACGGCUAACUACGUG